Non-coding RNA from Arvicanthis niloticus (Nile rat), 518 nucleotides. The record is from RefSeq and is a predicted model, not a curated record. Lineage: Eukaryota; Metazoa; Chordata; Mammalia; Rodentia; Muridae.
AGGAGGCGAGAGCUCGCGCGCUGGGGAGGGUGGGAAAACGGGCCUGCGUGGGGCGGGACCUACCGGAUGAUUGGCACCGAGUGCUGGGUUAGCCUCCGGACUCCUGCUGGGCUCUCUCGCCUCUGAGUGAAGGAGGUCCACGUGGCUCCUGAGCAUCUCUGGCUAGCCUGGUUGUCCCUACGCAGCAAGGUGAUGAGUCCCAUGGAGUGACGACCUUCUAUUCUUCAAGAUCUGACCUCUCACAUCCUGCCUCUCUUCCAUCAGACUGUUCAAACAAUGGACCGGAAGAAAUGCAGUUUCCCCAGGACUCUUGUUCUGGAAGAAGAGAAAGAUUAAUGCCUGGACCAGCCAGAGAGGAAACUUAUAUCCUGGAACUUUUAAACCACCGUGCAGAAAACACUCCAGUCCUCCACUUAAACUGUAACCUUGGGUCAGGACCCUGAAGAUGGACUUGGCAAGUUGCUGGCCCUCUCUGUCUCUCUUCCUAGUGCACUCAUAUUGAAUUACUCUCCCUCUUC